This 284-nucleotide long non-coding RNA is filed under the name Mytilus galloprovincialis (Mediterranean mussel). Lineage: Eukaryota; Metazoa; Mollusca; Bivalvia; Mytilida; Mytilidae. The record is from RNAcentral.
UGCCUCCAUCGUGUGAUCCUUGAUCAAUAGGUCAUGACCAGGUCAACUAGCAUAUAUACAGAGUCAAAGCGGUUCACGAAUGUAUUUUUUUCCGGAAAUCAAUUUCUGUAGUAAUCUGUAUACAUAAUAUUGUUACAUGUAAAUCUAACCAUUUAUUAUUAUUAUUAAUUUACUGAACAAUCUCCCUGUUUGUUCAGUAAAACUAACACUACAGGGGUGCCCUGUCAAAUGCUGUAGACAUGGUAUUCAUUAUAACAGCAAUAGUGCAAUAAAUCAGAUUUUAG